This 446-nucleotide ribosomal RNA is filed under the name uncultured bacterium. RNAcentral's name for it is "partial 16S ribosomal RNA". It matches the Rfam family "Bacterial small subunit ribosomal RNA", at positions 338 to 795 of the family's 1533-position model. The record is from RNAcentral.
CCUACGGGUGGCAGCAGUCGAGAAUCAUUCACAAUGGGGGAAACCCUGAUGGUGCGACGCCGCGUGGGGGAAUGAAGGUCUUCGGAUUGUAAACCCCUGUCAUGUGGGAGCAAAUUAAAAAGAUAGUACCACAAGAGGAAGAGACGGCUAACUCUGUGCCAGGAGCCGCGGUAAUACAGAGGUCUCAAGCGUUGUUCGGAAUCACUGGGCGUAAAGGGUGCGUAGGCUGUUUCGUAAGGCGUGUGUGAAAGGCGCGGGCUCAACCCGCGGACGGCAGAUGAUACUGCGAGACUAGAGUAAUGGAGGGGGAACCGGAAUUCGCGGUGUAGCAGUGAAAUGCGUAGAUAUCGAGAGGAACACUCGUGGCGAAGGCGGGUUCCUGGACAUUAACUGACGCUGAGGCACGAAGGCCAGGGGAGCGAAAGGGAUUAGAUACCCGAGUAGUC